This 1241-nucleotide long non-coding RNA is filed under the name Cyanistes caeruleus (blue tit). RNAcentral describes it as "lncRNA (ENSCCEG00000017946.1)". The record is from RNAcentral. Lineage: Eukaryota; Metazoa; Chordata; Aves; Passeriformes; Paridae.
CUCCUGUCUAUAAAUCUUCUUUCCUUGGCAGGGUUAUUAAGAACAACUGGCUGAAGCAGCACUGUUGUUAGCUGAGAUUCUUGCUGUCCUAUGAACCUGUCAGCCAAGUUACAGGAGUAAGUAUAGAGAAUCAAUAGUCUUUUUGGCAAAGAAAAGGAGCUGACAUUGAUUCUUCCAACUCUGGCAGGUGCCUUUCAUACUGUGCCCUUCGAUGUGUGAUCAAGGCCUGUCUCUGGCCCCACUGCAGCCUUGCAGGGUGUUCAGCAAAGGAGGAAGGAGAGUCCUAUGAAGCCACAUCUUCCCUACAUUCCACAAGCUGAGGAAUGGGUUGUGGUUCCUUGUUUACGUGGCAGCUGUCAAGGACUACAUGAGACAAUGUGCUGGGCAGCAACAUUGCAUGAGCAUGGGCUGCCUUUGAUGUUUCUGGGAAGGCUCUUGGCAGAGUCUGGAUCUGAACACCUCUCCAGAUCAGUGGCUUUCUGAGCUGCUCCCUCAGGUCACGUACAGGCUCCUGUGGACAGCUGUGGCAGAGCUCCUGCUUCGGGCACAGAGAGAAGAGCCCCCUCAGCCACAGCUGGGCUGUCAGCAUGAGUAAGGCAGGCUGGGUUUGAGCCUCUGGGGAUAGAGAAAGAACCUCAUGCUCACCUGCCCCAAAUCUACCCUUUAAGCAGAAGUAAAGAAAAAGAUGGCUUAGCUACUGUAGUGCUCUCCUUUUCCUGGGCCAUUUUGCCAUGAAAAGCUAAUUAACUGGUUUACUUCACACUGACUACAACAAUGUGGGUAGCUGCCAAAAAGCCUGCUGAGCAAAAAAUGAUGGCUCCUAGCUGUUCCUUGCUCUGACAACCUCCCAUGUGGGAACAGGGCUGUCUGGCUGCAGUAGCAGCAACAUUGCUGAGUCAAGACCCCAAAGUAAUCCUUACUAAAGGGAGUUCUCAUAUGAGGACAUCUAUCCCUCUGAUUUUCCAUGCUGAAGCAAUGUAAAACCACCGUCCACUCAGUCCCUUUUGUACAUGCACCUGUUGUGUUUGCCUUAUUGAGACAGAUGAAGUGACCCUACAGUCAAGUUUUGUGCUACACAACCAGUUCUCUCAAACAUUAUUGGCCAUUUUUCCUUUGAGAGAGCUGCAGCACUGGGGCUGGACUGUGGACUAGCUAUGCUCUUGGGGCUUUUCAGGUCAGAUGAUAUAGGAAUAUGCACCAUUAACUUCCUUCUUCAACAAUAAAGAUCCCUAUCAUCUCCA